UAGGAAUACCCGCUGAACUUAAGCAUAUCAAUAAGCGGAGGAA
RNAcentral lists this ribosomal RNA (43 nucleotides) under Neurospora sp. 3396. Its description in RNAcentral is "partial 28S ribosomal RNA". Lineage: Eukaryota; Fungi; Ascomycota; Sordariomycetes; Sordariales; Sordariaceae. The record is from RNAcentral.